UGACUCAGCAGCCUGUGCUGAUAGCCCUGCUCCUGCCUGCCCUCCCACUCCACAGCCCUGCUGCUAGCUGUCCCCUCCGUGUGGCCUGGGUCCUAACAGUGGGUGCUCCAGGGCCGGGCAAAUGACACCAUCUGGACCCUGGAAACAGCACAUGUUUGGUGCAGUCACCCUCCCCCAAGCCAGCAUCUUAAGCAAAGUCUCCUCCCCCUUUAAAUGAGCCUCCUUCAUGUUUUCCUUUCUUCUGGUCCGCUUGGUUUUCAUGUUCCUCUCUCUGCUCUCUUUGUCCUGCUGAGCAGACAGCAAACCUGCAGGUUCUGUGAUCCUGCUGCUCAGCUUUAAAACAAAAAACAAAAACAAAACCAUGUUGCAAUUUGUGAACUUUCUCUCCUGGAAGGCAUGAACCAUCAGCUUUCCUGAAGGUAGCUACUGCAAAGCACUGGUCUUACAGAAGAAAAGGACUGAUGAGGGAAAGAGAAAGGGACACAGACAAAGGAAGGAAGGGAAGCAUUCAGAAGGAGGGAGAGAGGCCAGCCGGCCCCCAGGUUGAACCACAUACUCAGCCUUUAAAAAACUGGGCUUCUUUAACAUGGAUGCAAGUACCAGCCAAGGUAGUUCCACUGCAGAUUCACCACCGAGAUGAAGAUGGCUAGACAUUUUUCAAAUGAGAGUAACUGGGCCUGUACUACAAGACGUAUUCAGGCUAUUAAGAUCUCCAUGCCCUGCCAUUCCCUCUGCCUGGAAUGUUCUUUCUCCAGUACUUUGUAUUCUGAUGGUUCUCGACCCUAGCUUCAAACCCCAAACCCCUGCUUCUAGAUAACAGCCUCACAACAGAUAAUUCAGGGGCCCACGUAUUUACAAGCCUGGGAGGUGAUCCUGAAAGCUUUGCAGGUAUAUUCUUCUUUGGCUCCACCCACGCUCCAGUGAGCACAGCUGCAUCUGCUCAGUUAUGCUCUCUUCUUCCAGACACUGCCAAAAAUGCUGAGAUACACAAGAUGCCAGGCCUUGAGAAUCAAUGACAGAUCCACAGCUGAACUGCUUGAAGGCAGGGCUUGACCAAGUAUCUAGUGUGGCAACUCUUCCAAUUUUCCCACUUAUAGCAUGUUUUCAUUUUUCAAAUUUCAGAAUUUAUUAUAUCCCUCCCCUUUCUCUCUCUCUCUCUCUCUCUGUCUCUCUCUGUGUGUGUGUGUGUGUGUGUGUCUCCCCUCUCUGUCUCCCUCCUCCACCACCACCUUAAGAUUCAGACAUGUGCCUACUGAACACAAAUCUGAAUGGAAGUCUCCUCUUUGAACUAGAAUUGCCCAAGACGAGGGCCCCAUUUACUAGGUUAGCUUGUUCUCUGGUUUCCUUUUGGUUAAGGGUGAGUUUUCUCCCAAGAAGCCCUUAUGCAAACUGAUGUCUGGUUGGCAAGCUCAAUACAGACAUACCCAGACAUGCCAUACCCCCAUGUGUGGGCACAGCUGAUACCCACUUGAUCCCAGUAAAACAUUCGUAAUCCCUUUCAUGCUGUCAUUGCUUUCGCCCAACAAUUCCACCAUAGAGAGUGAAGAUAAGAUUUUUUUUUAUUGACCAGGGCCCUUGGGUGCUUCUUGAGUGUGGCUUUCAGGGACAAUGACAUCGCAUGUUAAAUAACUCUUUGCUAAAGAGCUCUGAGUACAAACAAAUGUUAUCCUCUAACAUACCCUAAGAACAAAGUGAGUAGGUUCUAUCCCUGUCCUACGCUUUGGCCUCCUGUCUGAGGAUCUGUCCCCCCCACUGCAUCCCCAUCUCAUCCAUCCCCAGAAUUGACUGGUUUAGUCCUGUUGGGUCCCAAGUUACUUGGGGGCAGGCAGAGCUGUCUUUGGCACAAAAGUGGAAGCAAGUCCACAUGGAUCAUCUGGGCCCCAGCCAGUGUCUCAAGGUAUAGCCACUGGAUCCUUAGAUUAACCACCAUUUGGGUUCUUGGCUAGUUUCUUGGCUGUAGAGGAAGAUUAUUCUACUUGCCUUGGGCCAUUUCUUCAUUCCCUACUUCUGAUUUUUAUGGUAGGCCCAGGGUGCAAAUAGCACAGUUUUCAAGCUGUUCUUUCUUUGGGGGGAAUCUCUGCCUGCAUUGCACAUAACCUCGGGGUCCUGCUCUCCCCUGGGCAAUAGCAAGCACUUAAUUUAUGCUGAACCCAUUGGACCCUUUCCCUCUCUGGAUUUUGAAUCUUGAGCAGAAUGAUCCAGGAAUGAAAGUGAUGACCUUAUAGUACAGCUACUCCAUCCAAGCUUCCUAAAAGGACUGCUAAUUCCUACUCCCUAGAUCCCUGAGAUGCCCUUUUUCCUCUUUCCAAAAGCUGACCUAUUCAGCUUUCUUUACAAUUCUGUGACUUUUCUUAUAGUCUUCCAAUAAAUCCCUUUUUGCUUAAGUUAGCCUAAGUCUGUCUCUUAGACACCAAAGAGUACUACUGGAUAGGGAUGGCCCUUUCACCAUCGUUCUCUGCCACCUGGGUAUCCUUUCCCCAAAGCUGUUAAUUUUAAAGCCAGGAAGCUCAAGAUCCUCCCCCAACCCCCGCCCCCCGCCAUAUUCCUACAAGAUCCAGGCAAACUUUGGCUUCUGAUUCCUUGCACCUUCUUUCAGAAAGUGGCCAUUCUCAGUUUAAAUAACAAAAAUCCUCCAUCCGUGAUCCCUUUUAAAUAACACUGCAUUUAUGAGGCAGGGUUCAACAGAAUGGAAAACAGAACCAUUCAAAGUAUUGAAAACAGGCAAUUUAAUGCUGAGAUUUGGGUUUCCAAGUGACAGAAGAGCUGAUAAGCCAAACUGAAGAUGGUGAAGCAACUCAGAGCUUAGCAAUAGCAGAAACCCCUACCAGCCCUAGGCUGUAAGGACAAAAGGAGGUGAUGUUACUGGUGCUCAGGGUUUAGGGUCACUGGAGCAAACUGGGACCAUGGUAAGCACAUCUGAUGAGAGCUGGAGUCAAGAAGAAGAUGCAGCAACUGCUGAAGAUGCCACCUGUGGCAGAGGCGGGGAGAAACACCUGGGGGUCUCCUUUCUUCCUGUCCUCCCAUCUCUUGCCUCCCAUGUUCAAGCUAGCUGUAACCCAGCUGGCAGAGGAGCCCAAGAAAGGAGGCUGGGAGGUCGGUCUCACUGUGGCACAGAGCAAAGCAGAAGGAGGACAGGGAACGGAUCUGAGAGGACACAGAAUGCGGACAGCACCUGCCUCAUUAUUUAAAUUAUAUUUGCUAAAGUAUUAUUUAAUGUUUAGAAUAAAACGAUUUUAGCAUUUAAAUAAAUAGCAUGUAAUAUGUGUAUAUCAAGGUUCAAAAGGUAUGCACAAUUUUAAUUCCUUAUUAAAUUAUUAAAUUUGUGUGAUAAAUUAUAUAUUAUCACACAAAACACAAUAGGGAAGUCUUCUCGACUAGAAAACGCUUUGUAUCUUGAUCGUGCUCUCUAUGUAAUCAACAGGACUGUUUCUUUCUUUACUGUUUGUGUUGAUGACACUGUCUUGUACUCAUAAAUUGUACAGAAAUUUGUAGGGAGAAGGGAUACAGUAACCCCAAAACUGCAGUUUCACAGGCAGAAGCAAUGCCCAGCACCCCCAAACAUCCAGGCCCCAGAGACACGAGAGAAGAAACAGGGCAGUUACCACUUGGUGACUUACGAACUCAAAUCACCAAGUUCUUCCCCAACCCUUCUGCCUUCUCUUCUGUAAUUUCCUUGCUGCUGAUGACUGUAAGGCAGACUGGCCUCACAUCAGAGCCCAGAGAAGGGGGAGUGACGCAGUGACAUGACAACAGUGCAAUGAUAAAACAGGAUUCUUUUUCUUAUCUAAGGUGUUAGAAUGUGUAUAAAUAAACAUUUUUGUUAGGCGAUUUGUUUUAGUUUAGUUUUGCUAUUUUAACUACACAAGCAAGACAACAUGAUCUGAGCACUCCAUUUUGUCAGUCUGUGCUGUCUGAAAUCGAGGCUCCUGCAUUCUGUCCUAGCUUAUAUAAUUCUGAGAAAGCAGUUCUGGUGCAGUGUUCAGGCU
RNAcentral lists this long non-coding RNA (3986 nucleotides) under Homo sapiens (human). RNAcentral's name for it is "HSALNT0267390". Lineage: Eukaryota; Metazoa; Chordata; Mammalia; Primates; Hominidae. The record is from RNAcentral.